GUUCUCGUAAUCGCUAGAUAUCGCAGUUUGCACACCUAUGACGUCAUGGUCUGUUUCCGGACACGUGACUUCAUCGUCGAAUAUCCACCUUCCUGAACGUUGGUAGCCAAUCAAAAUAUUUUUUACUGUUAGACACACCUUUGAGGCGUGUCUACACAUACGGGGGAAUUUUUAACGGCGCAUGCGGCUUGGUCAUAAUUUUCUCUCGACCGGAUGUCGCAGCGCUCUUGUCAAGUUGGGGCUUCGCUGCCUGUUGGCGAUUUGGCUUCCUAUUUUCAGCUGCAAACAACUGAUGACGAGGUUGACGAUGGCGAUGAUGUGUCGAUGGCUUCGAUAUCGUCGUCCGACGAUGACGCGACGGACAACGAAGAAGCGCUACCCGUCGAGGAAGACAGCGAUGACGCUACGCUGUUAGUAUAACGUUUUGAUGUCUAAUUAACUCGUUUUUUUGCGAUACGUUGUUCAGUAACGUUUCUAGUACCUGUUUUGCAAGUUUGGGCGUUCGCCGUUGGGAAGAAUUUGAGUUAUGCGCAUAGCAACGCAUGAGUGUUCGGUUGCUAUGGCUGUGUACCCGUAUGUUGUGGUAGACAUCGUUUUUACGUUUCAGUAAGUGUUUUCCAAGUUUGGAUGUUAGGAGUUGGCAAGAAUUUGAGUUAUGCCCAUAGCAACGCACAUAGCAACGGAUCUGAAGGCAGGCAUAACUCAAAGACCAGGUAUCGCUGCCAAGAAUGCAACGUUCCCCUCUGUGUGUCAUCUGCUGAGCGACAGUGCUUUAUAAAAUAUCACACUGAGGAUGACUGAAAAUUGCUAAACUGUGACUGUGUAUAUUGUAUAUUUCUAUUUAUAGUGUUGUAUAUUUCUAUUAUAUAUUGUUGUAUAUUUCUAUAUAUAUUGUUGUAUAUUUCUAUUUAUAUAUUGUUGUAUAUUUUUAUUUAUAUAUUGUUAUAUAUUUCAUUUAUACAGUAUUGUAUUAGGUGAUCUA
This is a long non-coding RNA of Corticium candelabrum, 982 nucleotides long. RefSeq lists it as uncharacterized. The transcript is spliced from 2 exons. Lineage: Eukaryota; Metazoa; Porifera; Homoscleromorpha; Homosclerophorida; Plakinidae. The record is from RefSeq and is a predicted model, not a curated record.